This 424-nucleotide ribosomal RNA is filed under the name uncultured microorganism. RNAcentral's name for it is "bacterial SSU rRNA". It matches the Rfam family "Bacterial small subunit ribosomal RNA", at positions 9 to 430 of the family's 1533-position model. The record is from RNAcentral.
GAGUUUGAUCGUGGCUCAGAUUGAACGCUGGCGGCAUGCCUUACACAUGCAAGUCGAACGGCAGCAUGAUCUAGCUUGCUAGAUUGAUGGCGAGUGGCGAACGGGUGAGUAAUACAUCGGAACCGUGCCCUGUAGUGGGGGAUAACUAGUCGAAAGAUUAGCUAAUACCGCAUACGACCUGAGGGUGAAAGUGGGGGACCGCAAGGCCUCAUGCUAUAGGAGCGGCCGAUGUCUGAUUAGCUAGUUGGUUGGGGUAAAGGCCCACCAAGGCGACGAUCAGUAGCUGGUCUGAGAGGACGAUCAGCCACACUGGGACUGAGACACGGCCCAGACUCCUACGGGAGGCAGCAGUGGGGAAUUUUGGACAAUGGGCGAAAGCCUGAUCCAGCAAUGCCGCGUGUGUGAAGAAGGCCUCGGUGUAAGU